RNAcentral lists this ribosomal RNA (250 nucleotides) under Bifidobacterium animalis subsp. lactis. RNAcentral's name for it is "partial 16S ribosomal RNA". It matches the Rfam family "Bacterial small subunit ribosomal RNA", at positions 371 to 625 of the family's 1533-position model. Lineage: Bacteria; Bacillati; Actinomycetota; Actinomycetes; Bifidobacteriales; Bifidobacteriaceae. The record is from RNAcentral.
AUGGGGCCAGCUGAUGCAGCACCCCGCGUGCGGAAUGGAGGCCUUCGGGUUGUAAACCGCUUUUGUUCAGGGCAUGCACGGUUUCGGCCUGGUUGAGUGGAUUGUUCGAAUAACCACCGGCUAACUACGUGCCACCAGCCGCGGUAAUACGGUAGGGUGCAAGCGUUAUCCGGAUUUAUUGGUUGUUAAGGGCUCGUAGGCCGCUCGCCGCUUUUUAAGUGAAAUUCCAUCGCCUACCGGUUGACCUACG